RNAcentral lists this ribosomal RNA (539 nucleotides) under Ceratocystiopsis minuta. RNAcentral describes it as "eukaryotic LSU rRNA". It matches the Rfam family "Eukaryotic large subunit ribosomal RNA", at positions 35 to 578 of the family's 3401-position model. Lineage: Eukaryota; Fungi; Ascomycota; Sordariomycetes; Ophiostomatales; Ophiostomataceae. The record is from RNAcentral.
UAAGCAUAUCAAUAAGCGGAGGAAAAGAAACCAACAGGGAUUGCCUCAGUAACGGCGAGUGAAGCGGCAACAGCUCAAAUUUGAAAUCUGGCUCUCCUUGGGGGUCCGAGUUGUAAUUUGGAGAGGAUGUUUCUGGCGCGGCGCCUACCGGAGUUCCUUGGAACAGGACGCCACAGAGGGUGAGAGCCCCGUACGGUGGGACGCCUAGCCGCAACGAAACUCCUUCGACGAGUCGAGUAGUUUGGGAAUGCUGCUCAAAAUGGGAGGUAAAUUUCUUCUAAAGCUAAAUACCGGCCAGAGACCGAUAGCGCACAAGUAGAGUGAUCGAAAGAUGAAAAGCACCUUGAAAAGAGGGUUAAACAGUACGUGAAAUUGUUGAAAGGGAAGCGCCUGCGACCAGACUCGCGCCCCGCGGACCAGCCGGCGUUCUCGCCGGUGCACUCCGCGGGGUGCGGGCCAGCAUCGGUUUUCCCUGGGGGAGAAAGGCCGCGGGAACGUAGCUCCUUCGGGAGUGUUAUAGCCCGCGGCGCCAUGCCCCA